This is a long non-coding RNA of Motacilla alba alba, 424 nucleotides long. RefSeq lists it as uncharacterized. The record is from RefSeq and is a predicted model, not a curated record. The transcript is spliced from 2 exons. Lineage: Eukaryota; Metazoa; Chordata; Aves; Passeriformes; Motacillidae.
CGGGGACCUCCCGCCUGAAGAGAGCGCUUAGCACGCUAAGCCGAGCUCCGUGGCGAGGAAGCUCCCAGCUUCCAGGCGCGUUUCCAGGUACAUGUAACUGGAAUAGGGAUCACAUGAUGGAUCUGGGCUGGCUUUUCUCCCACAGUGGGCACUUCCCGAGGAUGCAGCGCUGGUUUUUAUUUCUGCAGUACCACCCAGUGGCCAGUCCGUGUGCUACUCGGAACGAGUUGACCGACCUGUACACGGGAUUAAAAACCCAAAUCUAUUAAUAGCCGCAAUGCAGAUGCAAUAUAGUUUAGCAGAAAGUCAAAUAGAACCACCAAAUGAGGGGGGAGAAAAAAAAAAAAAAACCAAAAUUGUUUUGAAUUCCUCAGUGGCUGUCUCCUAUUUCUUCCACUUGAAAUAAAUCUGCUGACAUGGUGGA